Molecule: long non-coding RNA, 753 nt
Organism: Carassius carassius (crucian carp)
Lineage: Eukaryota; Metazoa; Chordata; Actinopteri; Cypriniformes; Cyprinidae
Exons: 7
Source: RefSeq, a predicted model, not a curated record
GUAAUAUUUAGUGAUUUUUAAUUUGCCUAAUAAAAUAAAUUAAAAUUAUUCAGAAAUAAUUGUUUAGCCGUUGUCAAGAAGAAGAAAAUGCAUGAGGGUUGGCGUCCUCGCGCUCCUGCUGUUUGCUCGCGUGCACGUGCGUGGAAGAGCGAUUUCAAAUACAAAGAAGUAACGGCUCCUUUCCUCAAAGAAACAACCACUGCGCGAGGUGACCACGAUGCUUACGAGUCUAAUGCACUUUGUGGGACGAAAUGGAGACCACAAACACAAGAAAAUCCAGUAUGACUUCUUUAAAAAUCUCAAAAGGUUCACAGAGCAGCACUAUUUAAUAAAGAAAUGUGGCUCUGUAGUGGACACCUGUGAGGCAGUGGACAGACAGCUGCUGAUGUCUGAUGCUGGCUGACAAUAAACAGACCUCUCUGGACGUACGCCAUCUUUUGCAGAGAAAUUAUAACAUUGCCCUUCCUGUUACAUGAUGAUCCUGCUGUCCUGGACUGUAUAUGAUGAGCCUACACAUAAUCUCAGAACAGCUGUGGCAAUAACAGGAGACCCAUUUGGUGAGAGCAGCACUGCAGACUUUCCUGAUGGAGGAGAUCAUGGACCAUUUUCACAAGACUGAUGCUGUGUUUCAGCUGUGUCUUCAUCGUAAAUCCUCACAAUGUUUGUAUAUUUUGAUUUUAAAAAAAAUUAUGUGCAUUUAUAACACUAUACUUUGUAUUAUAUCACAUUCGUAUCAAAUUACAGAAAAAAAUA